GUGAAUGAUGAAGGUCUUAGGAUUGUAAAAUUCUUUCACCGGGGAAGAUAAUGACGGUACCCGGAGAAGAAGACCCCGGCUAACUUCGUGCCAGCAGCCGCGGUAAUACGAAGGGGGCUAGCGUUGCUCGGAUUUACUGGGCGUAAAGGGCGCGUAGGCGGACAGUUUAGUCAGAGGUGAAAGCCCGGGGCUCAACCCCGGAAUUGCCUUUGAUACUGGCUGUCUUGAGUUUGGGAGAGGUAUGCGGAACUCCGAGUGUAGAGGUGAAAUUCGUAGAUAUUCGGAAGAACACCAGUGGCGAAGGCGGCAUACUGGCCCCAAUACUGACGCUGAGGCGCGAAAGCGUGGGGAGCAAACAGGAUUAGAUACCCUGGUAGUCCACGCCGUAAACGAUGAUUGCUAGUUGUCGGCACGCAUGCGUGUCGGUGACGCAGCUAACGCAUUAAGCAAUCCGCCUGGGGAGUACGGUCGCAAGAUUAAAACUCAAAGGAAUUGACGGGGGU
RNAcentral lists this ribosomal RNA (503 nucleotides) under uncultured bacterium. RNAcentral's name for it is "bacterial SSU rRNA". It matches the Rfam family "Bacterial small subunit ribosomal RNA", at positions 401 to 920 of the family's 1533-position model. The record is from RNAcentral.